Molecule: ribosomal RNA, 261 nt
Filed under: uncultured bacterium
Lineage: Bacteria
Description: partial 16S ribosomal RNA
Rfam family: Bacterial small subunit ribosomal RNA
Source: RNAcentral
UGGCGAACGGGUGAGUAACGCGUGAGUAACCUGCCCUGGAGUGGGGGACAACAGUUGGAAACGACUGCUAAUACCGCAUAAGCCCACGGAUCCGCAUGGAUCUGCGGGAAAAGGAUUUAUUUGCUUCAGGAUGGACUCGCGUCCAAUUAGCUAGUCGGUGAGGUAACGGCCCACCAAGGCGACGAUUGGUAGCCGGACUGAGAGGUUGAACGGCCACAUUGGGACUGAGACACGGCCCAGACUCCUACGGGAGGCAGCAUG